AUACUUACUUAGCAGAGGAGAUACCAUGUUCAUGAAUGUUGUUUUCCCAGGGCAAGGCUCAUUCAUUGCAUCCCGUAUGUGCUCACCCCUGCGAUUUCCCCAGAUGUGGAGAACUCGACUGCUAAUUUUGGUAGUGGGGAACUGUAUUCGUGCUGUCCCCUG
Small nuclear RNA from Suncus etruscus (white-toothed pygmy shrew), 162 nucleotides. RefSeq annotates it as U1 spliceosomal RNA. The transcript has a single exon. Lineage: Eukaryota; Metazoa; Chordata; Mammalia; Eulipotyphla; Soricidae. The record is from RefSeq and is a predicted model, not a curated record.